Molecule: ribosomal RNA, 460 nt
Filed under: uncultured bacterium
Lineage: Bacteria
Description: partial 16S ribosomal RNA
Rfam family: Bacterial small subunit ribosomal RNA
Source: RNAcentral
CCUACGGGUGGCAGCAGUGAGGAAUAUUGGUCAAUGGACGAGAGUCUGAACCAGCCAAGUAGCGUGAAGGAUGACUGCCCUAUGGGUUGUAAACUUCUUUUAUAUGGGAAUAAAACGUUCCACGUGUGGGAUUUUGUAUGUACCAUAUGAAUAAGGAUCGGCUAACUCCGUGCCAGCAGCCGCGGUAAUACGGAGGAUCCGAGGGUUAUCCGGAUUUAUUGGGUUUAAAGGGAGCGUAGGUGGAUUGGUAAGUCAGUUGUUGAAGUUUGCGGCUCAACCGUAAAAUUGCAGUUGAAACUGGCAGUCUUGAGUACAGUAGAGGUGGGCGGAAGUCGUGGUGUAGCGGUGAAAUGCUUAGAUAUCACGAAGAACUCCGAUUGCGAAGGCAGUUCACUGGACUGCCACUGACAUUGAUGCUCGAAAGUGUGGGUAUCAAACAGGAUUAGAUACCCCAGUAGUC